Long non-coding RNA from Monodelphis domestica (gray short-tailed opossum), 454 nucleotides. RefSeq lists it as uncharacterized. NCBI's taxonomy places the organism in Eukaryota, Metazoa, Chordata, Mammalia, Didelphimorphia, Didelphidae. The record is from RefSeq and is a predicted model, not a curated record.
UUGAAUAUACUGCAUCCCUCCUGCCACAGCUUUACCUCCCCCCCCACACACACACACACCUUUUCCCUCUGGGGAGUACUGACAUCUCCACCUGUCUGCUUGCCUUGAUUACCACUGCUACCACUUACUGCUAACAAUGCAACCUCCUGAGCUGACUGAGUGGGUGGUGCCCGCCCAGGCUGCAGCCCCCAUCUGGUCACAACCAGACCUGAUGCUGUGAGUCUGGAAGUUCUGAGUGCUUGCUCCUUUGUGACCUGGAAACCUAGAAUCAUCAAAGUCCAGGGGCAAGAGAGUCAGGAUGACUGGUGAGAGCCUGGGAUUCAGUGAUUUGGGCUGCAUCUUUGAUGUCUGACCUGGCUCCAAGAACUUCACAGCUUUGCUUCAGCUGCAGCUGCCUUCCUGGCUAUUGAAAUAAAUUAUUCUCAUCUGCCCAUUCCAUGGUUGGGGCAAACAA